UCUGAUGUAUAUAGCUUUGGG
RNAcentral lists this microRNA (21 nucleotides) under Brassica napus (rape). RNAcentral's name for it is "bna-miR6034". The record is from miRBase by way of RNAcentral. Lineage: Eukaryota; Viridiplantae; Streptophyta; Magnoliopsida; Brassicales; Brassicaceae.